CGCUGGCGGCGUGCUUAACACAUGCAAGUCGAACGGAAAGGCCCUGCUUUUGUGGGGUGCUCGAGUGGCGAACGGGUGAGUAACACGUGAGUAACCUGCCCUUGACUUUGGGAUAACUUCAGGAAACUGGGGCUAAUACCGGAUAGGAGCUCCUGCUGCAUGGUGGGGGUUGGAAAGUUUCGGCGGUUGGGGAUGGACUCGCGGCUUAUCAGCUUGUUGGUGGGGUAGUGGCUUACCAAGGCUUUGACGGGUAGCCGGCCUGAGAGGGUGACCGGCCACAUUGGGACUGAGAUACGGCCCAGACUCCUACGGGAGGCAGCAGUGGGGAAUAUUGCACAAUGGGCGGAAGCCUGAUGCAGCAACGCCGCGUGCGGGAUGACGGCCUUCGGGUUGUAAACCGCUUUCGCCUGUGACGAAGCGUGAGUGACGGUAAUGGGUAAAGAAGCACCGGCUAACUACGUGCCAGCAGCCGCGGUGAUACGUAGGGUGCGAGCGUUGUCCGGAUUUAUUGGGCGUAAAGGGCUCGUAGGUGGUUGAUCGCGUCGGAAGUGUAAUCUUGGGGCUUAACCCUGAGCGUGCUUUCGAUACGGGUUGACUUGAGGAAGGUAGGGGAGAAUGGAAUUCCUGGUGGAGCGGUGGAAUGCGCAGAUAUCAGGAGGAACACCAGUGGCGAAGGCGAUUCUCUGGGCCUUUCCUGACGCUGAGGAGCGAAAGCGUGGGGAGCGAACAGGCUUAGAUACCCUGGUAGUCCACGCUGUAAACGGUGGGUACUAGGUGUGGGGUCCAUUCCACGGGUUCCGUGCCGUAGCUAACGCUUUAAGUACCCCGCCUGGGGAGUACGGCCGCAAGGCUAAAACUCAAAGGAAUUGACGGGGCCCCGCACAAGCGGCGGAGCAUGCGGAUUAAUUCGAUGCAACGCGUAGAACCUUACCUGGGUUUGACAUGGAUCGGGAGUGCUCAGAGAUGGGUGUGCCUCUUUUGGGGUCGGUUCACAGGUGGUGCAUGGCUGUCGUCAGCUCGUGUCGUGAGAUGUUGGGUUAAGUCCCGCAACGAGCGCAACCCUUGUUCACUGUUGCCAGCACGUUAUGGUGGGGACUCAGUGGAGACCGCCGGGGUCAACUCGGAGGAAGGUGGGGAUGACGUCAAGUCAUCAUGCCCCUUAUGUCCAGGGCUUCACGCAUGCUACAAUGGCUGGUACAGAGAGUGGCGAGCCUGUGAGGGUGAGCGAAUCUCGGAAAGCCGGUCUCAGUUCGGAUUGGGGUCUGCAACUCGACCUCAUGAAGUCGGAGUCGCUAGUAAUCGCAGAUCAGCAACGCUGCGGUGAAUACGUUCCCGGGGCUUGUACACACCGCCCGUCAAGUCAUGAAAGUUGGUAACACCCGAAGCCGGAGGCCUAACCGUUGUGGGGGAGCCGUCGAAGGUGGGACUGG
RNAcentral lists this ribosomal RNA (1430 nucleotides) under uncultured organism. Its description in RNAcentral is "16S ribosomal RNA". It matches the Rfam family "Bacterial small subunit ribosomal RNA". The record is from RNAcentral.